GGAGAUCUGGGAGGCAUUAAUGGGAGGUGAUAUGCUGAAAGUUCUACUUUACCAUUUCAGUGUGUGUGUGUAUCAGCUAUAAAUCCUUGGGUAUCUUAACUGGUCACCUAGUCCGGCUUACACGAGCACGGCUACACAGCAAAGAGCUAUUACUUACUGUCCAACAACUGAUUCAAAAACAAAUCUGACAACAUAAGGCCCGAAAGGCUUUCAUCGACUUCCAGCCUGUUGGAACCAACAUCCCAGAGUAUCUUCGCCAGGCAAUGAAGAGACCUGAACCAUUUGUACUUGCUCUUGGCAACAGUCAGGUUUCUCAAGCAUUUACUGUAAUAAAUGGAGAGGCGCUUGAGAACAGAACCUUGCUGGGAGCAGUUGAUACCUGUUUCAAGGCGUUUUACUUCUUUGACAUCAACUACCCCAAGCAAUGUGCCCC
This is a long non-coding RNA of Esox lucius (northern pike), 433 nucleotides long. Lineage: Eukaryota; Metazoa; Chordata; Actinopteri; Esociformes; Esocidae. The record is from Ensembl.